Molecule: long non-coding RNA, 262 nt
Filed under: Elaeis guineensis (African oil palm)
Lineage: Eukaryota; Viridiplantae; Streptophyta; Magnoliopsida; Arecales; Arecaceae
Description: long non-coding RNA (EGUI_LNC067000)
Source: RNAcentral
UUUCCAAUUCGUCAUGAUGCUGCAGCCUUCUUCGUAAGCUCGCCGCCGACCGUCCUUCGCAAGAACUGGUUGCACCAUUACUUGUAUGCCUUUAUGACCUCCACUAGGACCUCUUUAGGAACCCUUUUUCAAAAUAUCUCACCACACCAAAAAUCAAAUCAUAUGUUCAACACUUGAACAACCUGAUUUUAGGACAAGCAUCUCAUGCUUUCUUUUUUCUUUCUUCCCUUUCUUUCUAUUUUUUCUCUUCUUUUUCCCUUAU